AGAGGGUGCGAGCGUUGUCCGGAAUCACUGGGCGUAAAGGGCGUGUAGGUGGCUUGGUAAGCCGCGUGUGAAAUCCCGGGGCUCAACCCCGGAACGGCACGCGGGACUGUCAGGCUAGAGCAUGGUAGAGGCGAGUGGAGUUCCUGGUGUAGCGGUGGAAUGCGUAGAGAUCAGGAAGAACACCGGUGGCGAAGGCGGCUCGCUGGGCCAUUGCUGACACUGAGGCGCGAAAGCGUGGGGAGCAAACAGGAUUAGAUACCCUGGUAGUCAACGCUGUAAACGAUGGGCACUAGGCGUCGGGGGGAGCGACCCUCCCGGUGCCGUCGCUAACGCAAUGAGUGCCCCGCCUGGGGAGUACGGCCGCAAGGUUG
Molecule: ribosomal RNA, 371 nt
Filed under: uncultured bacterium
Lineage: Bacteria
Description: bacterial SSU rRNA
Rfam family: Bacterial small subunit ribosomal RNA
Source: RNAcentral